This 1875-nucleotide ribosomal RNA is filed under the name Pseudopygmephorellus mazandaranicus. RNAcentral's name for it is "SSU rRNA". It matches the Rfam family "Eukaryotic small subunit ribosomal RNA". The record is from RNAcentral. Lineage: Eukaryota; Metazoa; Arthropoda; Arachnida; Trombidiformes; Pygmephoridae.
ACUCAAAGAUUAAGCCAUGCAUGUCUCAGUACAGCCUCGAAAAAGUGAAACCGCAAACAGCUCAUUAAAUCAGUUACAACUUCCUUGCUCUCGAGCCUCUUAAAUGGAUAACUGUGGUAAAUCUAGAGCUAAUACAUGCAAACUUGUCUCGCCUUCGGGCGAGUCGCAUCUUAUUAGACCCAGAUCAUAGGCAGCCUCACGGCUACCUUUACAUCAGAGGUGACUCUAGAUAAUAUUCAGCUAUCAUUUAAGUCCUCUUCGAGCGACGGUGAAGUGUAAUUCAGACUUCUGCCUUAUCAACUUUUGUUGGUAGGCGACGGGACUACCAAGGUGGUCACGAGUAACGGGGAAUAUGGGUUUUAUUCCGGAGAAGGAGCCUGAGAAACGGCUACUACAUCUAAGGGUGGCAGCAGGCGCGCAAUUUGCCCAAUUUUAGAUGUAGGAGGCAGUGACGAGACAUAAACAUUGGUGAGCGUAGUUUUUAAUUGCGUUUCACCAAAAAAAUUGUGAUUGAGCACAAUGUAAAUGCUUUGGCGAUAAUCUAUUGGAGGGCAAGUCUGGUGCCAGCAGCCGCGGUAAUUCCAGCUCCAAUAGCGUAUAUUAAUAUUGUUGCGGUUAAAAAGCUCAUAGUUUAAACUUGGACAGCAGUUGUUUCGAUCUCCUCGCACCUUCACUGGUCGGGGCUUGCAUGGUCGAGCGGCAGUGUGGUCCGUCUUUGGCGUUUGCUGGGUGCAUUGUGAUGUGCUCGAGCGGCGUCAGCGAUUACUUUGACUAAAUCAGAGUGAUCAAAACAGGCUCGUUUUGCACGGCCUUGAGUGCUCUAGCAUGGAAUAAUAGAAAAGGACUCGUUCAGGUCCGGUGGUGUAAAGCCAACUAUGGUCUUCGGUACCUCGAGUAAUGAUUAAAAGGGAUUGACGGGGGCAGUCGUAUUGCUGGGCUAGCGGUGAAAUGCAAUGACCCUGGUAAGACGUCCGAAAGCGAAAGCAUCUGCCUAGGAUGUUUUCAUUAAUCAAGAGCGAAAGUUAGAGGUGCGAAGGCGAUUAGAUACCGCCCUAGUUCUAACCAUAAACGAUGCCGACCAGCAGUCAGUCUGAGAAUUCAAGUCAAUCAUAUUACUCUGUAAUCUUGAAUUAGACUGGCUCUCACGGAGAAAUCAGAGUGAUUAGGCUCCGGGGGAAGUAUGGUUGCAAGGCUGAAACUUAAAGGAAUUGACGGAGGGGCACCACAAGGAGUGGAGCUUGCGGCUUAAUUUGACUCAACACGGGAAAACUUACCAGGAUAAUACACUAUGACGAUUGACAGGCUAGAGACCUUUCUUGAUUUAGUGAAUAGUGGUGCAUGGCCGUUAUUAGUUCGUGGGGUGGCUUGUCAGGUUGAUUCCGACAAACGAACAAGACUCUAGCCUGUUAAUUGGAGCGAUCGGCCUUGCGCCUCUGGCGUCUGGCCGUAUUCGCCUCCCUUAAAGGGAUUAAUGACGUUUUCUAUUUCACAAUGUAGUCGUAGAGAAAUGGAGAACAAUAACAGGUCUGUAUGCCCUUUGAUAUCUUGGGCCGCACGCGAGCUACAUUGAAGGGUACAAUGAGUUACAUUCAAAUUUCCUGCGCUGAAAAGUGUCGGGUAAUCUUUGAAUUCCCUUCACCUCUGGGAUUGAGCUUUGUAAUCUUAGUUCAUGAACGAGGAAUUCCUUGUAAAUGCGAGUCAUCAGCUUGCGUUGAAUACGUCCCUGCCCCUUGUACACACCGCCCGUCGCUACUACCGAUGAAUUGCUUAGCAAGAACAAUGGACGGCUGGAUACAUGCUCGCGUUUCGACGUGUGGAAGUAUCAAGGCUGAAAGUUGUUCAAGCUUGUCAGUUUAGAGGAAGUAAAAGUCGUAA